This 425-nucleotide ribosomal RNA is filed under the name uncultured bacterium. RNAcentral describes it as "partial 16S ribosomal RNA". It matches the Rfam family "Bacterial small subunit ribosomal RNA", at positions 354 to 796 of the family's 1533-position model. The record is from RNAcentral.
GUGGGGAAUAUUGGACAAUGGGCGAAAGCCUGAUCCAGCAAUGCCGCGUGAGUGAAGAAGGCCUUCGGGUUGUAAAGCUCUUUUACCCGGGAAGAUAAUGACUGUACCGGGAGAAUAAGCCCCGGCUAACUCCGUGCCAGCAGCCGCGGUAAUACGGAGGGGGCUAGCGUUGUUCGGAAUUACUGGGCGUAAAGCGCACGUAGGCGGUCUUUUAAGUCAGAGGUGAAAGCCCGGGGCUCAACUCCGGAAUUGCCUUUGAAACUGGAAGACUUGAACACGGGAGAGGUGAGUGGAAUUCCGAGUGUAGAGGUGAAAUUCGUAGAUAUUCGGAGGAACACCAGUGGCGAAGGCGACUCACUGGCCCAAUACUGACGCUGAGGCGCGAAAGCGUGGGGAGCAAACAGGAUUAGAAACCCGGGUAGUCC